Molecule: microRNA precursor, 84 nt
Filed under: Bombyx mori (domestic silkworm)
Lineage: Eukaryota; Metazoa; Arthropoda; Insecta; Lepidoptera; Bombycidae
Description: mir-2807 microRNA precursor family
Rfam family: mir-2807 microRNA precursor family
Source: Rfam by way of RNAcentral
UUUACUCAUAUUUGUAUGAAGUUGUAACUUUUGCCUACGUUUGCCGCUAGGGGCGCUGUUCCAAUUGUAUACAAAUUUGAGUUA